Non-coding RNA from Caenorhabditis elegans, 21 nucleotides. NCBI's taxonomy places the organism in Eukaryota, Metazoa, Nematoda, Chromadorea, Rhabditida, Rhabditidae. The record is from Ensembl.
UGUUUGGGUUCCUGAUCUUCU